This is a non-coding RNA of Georgenia sp., 73 nucleotides long. The record is from Rfam. NCBI's taxonomy places the organism in Bacteria, Bacillati, Actinomycetota, Actinomycetes, Allobogoriellales, Allobogoriellaceae.
GCACCGCUAGCUCAAUUGGCAGAGCAACUGACUCUUAAUCAGUGGGUUCUGGGUUCGAGUCCCAGGCGGUGUA